GACGAACGCUGGCGGCGUGCUUAACACAUGCAAGUCGAACGGAAAGGCCCUGCUUUUGUGGUGUGCUCGAGUGGCGAACGGGUGAGUAACACGUGAGUAACCUGCCCUUGACUUUGGUAUAACUUCAGGAAACUGGGGCUAAUACCGUAUAGGAGCUCCUGCUGCAUGGUGGGGGUUGGAAAGUUUCGGCGGUUGGGGAUGGACUCGCGGCUUAUCAGCUUGUUGGUGGGGUAGUGGCUUACCAAGGCUUUGACGGGUAGCCGGCCUGAGAGGGUGACCGGCCACAUUGGGACUGAGAUACGGCCCAGACUCCUACGGGAGGCAGCAGUGGGGAAUAUUGCACAAUGGGCGGAAGCCUGAUGCAGCAACGCCGCGUGCGGGAUGACGGCCUUCGGGUUGUAAACCGCUUUCGCCUGUGACGAAGCGUGAGUGACGGUAAUGGGUAAAGAAGCACCGGCUAACUACGUG
This 468-nucleotide ribosomal RNA is filed under the name uncultured bacterium. RNAcentral describes it as "partial 16S ribosomal RNA". It matches the Rfam family "Bacterial small subunit ribosomal RNA", at positions 28 to 507 of the family's 1533-position model. The record is from RNAcentral.